This 882-nucleotide long non-coding RNA is filed under the name Nicotiana tabacum (common tobacco). RNAcentral's name for it is "long non-coding RNA (NTAB_LNC019657)". Lineage: Eukaryota; Viridiplantae; Streptophyta; Magnoliopsida; Solanales; Solanaceae. The record is from RNAcentral.
CCGGAGCCGGUUACUGGAAGGCCACCGGAGCUGAUAAGCCAGUGGGAAAGCCCAAGACUUUAGGGAUAAAGAAGGCGUUAGUGUUUUACGCUGGAAAAGCACCCAGAGGAAUCAAAACCAAUUGGAUAAUGCACGAAUAUCGACUCGCUAAUGUGGACCGGUCUGCUGGCAAGAGCAAUAAUAACUUGAGGGUAAGCGCUCUCAGAUUCUGGAUUUAAACCUGAAUCCAAAUUUUAUUAUUAUAAUCGAAAUUUUGUUAUUUGUACUUAUUUAGUGAACUUUUUGCAGCUUGACGAUUGGGUAUUGUGUCGAAUAUACAACAAGAAGGGCACACUUGAGAAGUAUUACAAUGUGGAUAACAAGGAACAUUUGGGCUUCGAUGAAGUUGAGGAAGAAGAGGAAAAACCAAAAAUUUUACCAUUUUCACAAAGUAAUGAGUUGAUAGCACAAUUAGCACCAGCGCCGAUGCCACCGCGGCCACAAUCGAUGCCGGGCUACUUUCACUUUGAAACGUCCGAGUCGAUGACUAGGAUGCAUACAACAAACUCGAGCUCUGGGUCAGAGCAUGUUUUGUCGUCGUGUAAUAAGGAGGUCCAAAGUGCUCCCAAAUGGGACGACCUCGACAAUGCCCUUGAUUUCCAGCUAAAUUAUUUGGACAGCUUCCAAUAUGACCCUUUUGAGCCCCAAAUGCAGCAGCAAAAUUGCAACAUUGAUCAGUUCAAUUCUUUCCAAGACAUGUUCGUAUACAUGCAGAAACCUUACUAAUCCGGCGCGAAUAUCUCCCCUACUAAUUGUAUAAUCAUGGCAAUUGGAUUUAACUGAUUGUGAUCCAAGGCCUCCUCUUAGUUCUUUCAACUUUAUUCUUUGGUGUAGGUCAAUUUG